UCGAUCUCGACCUUGUUAAUUGCUAUGCCUCUUUGGCUUUGCCCUUCAUUUUUUGGGUGUAUGUACAAUCCUGGGCAAUGCGAUAGCAUUCUCGGAAAGUGCGUUGUUCUCCUUGGAUGCUGUAUACUUCCCAUGGGGUGGGAAAUUUGAUAACUUGGUACAAACUGGAGGGGAUGGCCUUCAUGGCUUGUCCAAGGACGACCUAUUAUGGCAUCGAAAGUCGUGUCCUAAUCCAUGAUGUGGAAUGUGGUCUCUAGAGUGAUGCCGCCAGCCAGGAUGGGGAGUGUGAUUUCUCUGGACGUUCGUUCAACUACAUUGUUAAAACCGGUUAGUGUGAUGCAGUGUGGUACUAUUCUAUGCUCGAGUUUCAUCUGUUCAAGUACUCGAGGAUGGAUAAUGCACAUGCCGCUCCCAUCGUCCACCAUAAUACGUCCCACAUCUAUAUCUAAUAUGUGUAAAGUGAUAACAACAACAUCAUAGUGAGGAAAAAAACCAAAUAGUGGGUAUCUGACUUAUCGAAGAUGAUACUUUAUUCAAGUUCAUCGUACCGUUAAUGAGUGAUCGACCGUUUGAGUUUGUGGGUGGUAGUGAAUUUUACGAUGUUGAUCGAUGCGUCAUCACCCCCUCUGAUGAUCAUUUGAAUGGUUCAAGUUGGAGAAGGCAGUUUUGGUGGGCCCUAGUGUUGUUCACUCUCUCGAGCGAAGUUGGCCCUUCCUCGGUCGCUCAACAUCUCUUUCAAGUUCCCUUGGUGAAGCAUGUUCACGACCUCUUGUCUUAGAGCAAUGCAGUCCUCGGUUUUAUGACCUCGUUCCUGGUGGAAUUCAUAGAGGGCAUUUGACUUCCUGGUUCGGGUCAGACCUCAUCUUCUGCGGCCACUUCACUUUUGGGCCGAGCUUCUCCAAUGCAUAGACUAUUUCUGAGCGUGAAACACAAAAAUUGUGAGCAGAUAAUAAGGGAGGUAUACCUCGCUCACUUCGGUGAGUCCCUAUUAUUGGCCUAGAUGAGCCUUCAUCGUGGUGGAUAGGCGGCAUGAUGGUGCCUCUGACAUAUAGUUGAAGUCUUUCUCGGUUGGGCCGUAGGCCUGCUUGAUCCCUUCUAUUGUCAUUUAUCCGGUCUUUUUUGGACUCGGCUUGUACUGAGGUUAACCGUAGGGUUGUUCCAUUUAGGUCCUCCUCGUCAGCUCGGACCUCAGUGCAAUAGGCAUUGUGUAUUUCAUCCCAAGUGGUCGGGGGAUACUUCAUGAGCCGACUCAGCAACUUUCUGGUCGUCCUUGAACUGCUUUUGUUCAACCCAUUCUGGAAAGCUUCCACAACCGUUCCUUCCGAUACACUCGGUAAGGUCAUCUUUACAUGGUUAAAUCGAGCGAGGAAGUCCUUAGUCCUUCUCCGGGUGAUUGUUUGAUGGCAAAUAUAUCAUUCACUCUUGCCUCUGCCUUCUUAGCUUCGGCAUGGGCGUUAGGAACUUGUCGACCAUCUCUUCGAAUGUUUUAAUGGAGCGCGCAGGCAGCUGCGAAUACCAAGUUAAUACGCCCUCGGUGAGGGUUUCGCCAAACUUUUUUAAUAAGAUGGAGGAUACUUGCUCUUUGGCGAGGUUGUUGCCUUUUACUGCGGUGACAUAGUGAGUCACAUGAUCCUCAGGGUCUGUUGUGCCAUCGUAUAUUUUCAGGUACGACGACAUUUUGAAGGUUUUAGGUAUGACAUGUGAUGCGGCGUCAUCACUAUACGACUGCUCAACAAACAGACCGGCGUCACUUUUUGGUAAGAGUUUUGGGGCGCCCGGUAUUUUGCCUGCCCUUUCUUGAUGCUCUUUCAUUUGGUCUCGGAGCAUUUUAUUUUUGUUUUCCACCUCUUCCAUCUUCCUUAAAACGACUGUGAGGGUUUAGUCACCUGCAUUAUUAACAUUAUGGAUGAUACCUGCUGGGGGGAAGGGCCGUGCAGCUCGACUGCUAUUGGUGCAACGCAAGUUCUUGUGCUCUCUCUGAUCGCCUUUUGGGUGGGUUUGUCGAAGAUGCUGGUCAACGUGUUUGUCAGCCAAGCUUCGAGUAGCUUCUUUACCGCCGGUGGUGCCUCUUCCGUUGUGGACAUGGAAUCUCCUUUACCGUGGGACGUUGUGAUACUGCCAUGAGGAAGGGGUGAUCCACAUCGCCUGGGAGAGGCAUUUGGUGUUAUAUCCUCACCCUCUGUUUCAGAGAAAUCGUUGAUGGUGUUUAAGAGGUUGGUGAUGAGAUCGUCUACCACCUUCAUCCUUUCUUAUCCGUUACUUGUCAUCUUAGAUCUGUGUGCACAAAAAGGUAUAGGAUUUUGUAUUUUUUUUGUGGUUAUAGAUCUAGAAGAAACUAAAAUUUUACUUAGGAAAUUCCCACAGACGGCACCGCAUUGUUUGAUUAAAAAAAAUACGAAUCUUUGGUUAAACCAAUUAAUUAGAUAGAUAAAGGGUUAUCCUAGUUAAAGAUAAUAACUUUAGAUCUAAAAUCGGCCUACGUGGAUGAUGUAGAAUAGUGUCGGAAUAGAUUUAAUGUAACAUGUAUUAAAUGUUCAGGGUCAAUAAUGGGAUAAGAAUAACAAGCAUUAAAUAACAAUAAAUGACACUAAAUGUAAAUAAAAGAAUGAUUCACCCAAUAUUAAAUGAGGUGGAUGAUUAUUCUUUCUGACAAUGAUGAAUGACAAAUAACUUAUGACAAUAUUGGAGACUUUCUCGAAUCUGAUGUGAAAAGUGUAGAAUAAUCAACCAAACGAAUCUCUUUAGAAAUGUGGUGCUUAUCCAGAGAGUCGGCUCUUCAUGAAAGUUCUUAUUAGAAUCAAUAAUACCUUCCUUUUACCUUAUCUCUUUCUAUUUAUAUGAGACAUACCCCCAUCAACCCUAAAAGUACAAGUACAAAGAAAUUCAAUGGAAUAUUCUCCUAAAGACCCUAUUAUAAAACUAGCCGUUACUGUUGCUCUCAGCAUUUGACCUCGGCCAUAAUCGACUGCUUGACGAUGAGUUCCAUUAGUCAUUAAUCGAUCUCGGCCGAAUUAAUUCUAAUAAUACCUCUUCGUGCCAAAUUCCCUUAGUCAGAUUUUGAUUAUCCUGAUGGAGAACCUUACUAGAUGGAUUAAAAGGGUCCCAAUUAAUGUUAUUCAACAAAUAUAGUUACUAUUAUAAAGUGAGGAUGCAUAUAUCGGACAGUAUAAAAGCUUUCACAAAUUUAAAUUGAGUUUACAUUAUUUAGAACUAACUUUGCAAUAGAAGAUUACGUUAUCUUAAAUCCCGUACCCAUUCGACCAACAAUAUCACAAUAACAUGAGACGCCAAAAAUGAUCAAAACGCAGGGGCUAACUCUGCAUCUAUAUGGUUACAUUCUCCAAGUGGAACAAAACGCCACUAAUUUACAAAAACAUAACAAUAGAAAUCAUUGAGAAACAAAGUUGUUGGCUGUUCCCCUCAGUUGGAUGAUUUGGAGAUGAGAAAUUUGAGACUCUGUUGGUGACUUUGGUCCCAAAAGUUUAAUGCUGUGUCCAUACAAUGAUGCUUCUUCUUUCGUAGUAUUCAACAAUGACCUUAACUAUAUAUAUUGAUAAUAUAAAUUUUCUACAUUAUCUGCUCGCUUGAAAUGUAAUUGCAGGCAACUAUAUAAAACAAUUGAACUACUAACCUAAACAAUAACACAAGCUGCAACCUGAUGCACUAGGUUAAAUUGCAAUGGGGUGUAAAUAUUUGAUUGCACUUUCAGUAAAUAAAAGUUUUAGUCGUACAGUUUCAUCGUAUACAAGACUGCAAGUUUGCCGUUUUGAAAAAGUUGGAUUUUCAUGCGCAUAAUUUGUUAAUCUAAUUUAAUAAUGUUGUCCGUCAAAAUAACCUAUUUGAUCAAUUUAGCACAGAGGGAAUGUAAUACAAAAACCUUGGAUAAAGGCACUUGUAAUUAGCGGAAAGGAGAAAACACAUGAAAUCAUGAAGUUUACUGAUCUUAACAUUUUCAAAUAAGGAAACGGAGCUGUUGUAAAGAAAAAGGGACAAUAUUAUAGACACUUUACAUAAAGAUAAUUUAUUAGAUUUUGGUUUAAGGUAUAUUGAAAAAAAAUAUAAAAAUUGUGGUUUAUGGUACAUAGAAAAAGAAAUGUAAAAAUGGUGACCAUUUUGUUAAUGAGAAAAUUAGUGGUUGAUGCCAUAGACCACAAGAGUAUGUAUCAAACAAAAAUGUAUGAGGAAACAACAAGACAAUUAAUUGGUGGUGCAUUAUAUUUCCGCUAUAUACAAAAGCUUAAGUGGGUGUUCUAGUAUAUACAAGAGUUUAAGAAAAGAGUCAGACCACAUUUUUGCAAAAAAAAAAAUAAAAAAAAUACAGUUUUGUUUAUGUAAAUUAAAAGCACAUAGUGAAAAAUCUAUAUUUUGGGCGUAAGUACGUGUAUACAAACAAUUAAUACUAACCAACAUUCUUUCGAGACCAAAGUCACCAACAAAGUAUCAUCUUCUGCUUCUUCUUCAAUUUCCCCUUUGUAUAUCCAGUGUAGCAAAUUUGACUCCUUUUAUAGAUUACUUGUACCAUGUCACAAACGUACAUUUCUUUACAACAAUAGUAGCAAGUACAUUGAUUGUACUACAAGUAGUAAAAUGUUGUCCAUUUUAUCAAAGUCCCAAGUUUUUUUUCGUACAUCAUUGUACUAGGUUCUUGUACUGCUAAU
This 4658-nucleotide long non-coding RNA is filed under the name Nicotiana tabacum (common tobacco). RNAcentral's name for it is "long non-coding RNA (NTAB_LNC019623)". Lineage: Eukaryota; Viridiplantae; Streptophyta; Magnoliopsida; Solanales; Solanaceae. The record is from RNAcentral.